CCUUCGCAAGAACUGAUUGCACCAUAGCUUAUAUGCCUUCUACUAGGACCUCUUUAAGAAUCCUUCCUCAAAAGAUCUUGUUGCUAAAAAAUGGAGCCCAAGAGGGGGGUGAAUUGGAUCUUUUUGAAAUUUUAAAAGAUUAGUGCACUAAAGCAAUGUGUAAAAGAGAUUGAGUGAAAUGGGUUGAUAUUCAAUAAAAAUAAAUUCAAAUAUAAAAGAAAGAAUACAAGUAAAUGGCAUAA
Molecule: long non-coding RNA, 242 nt
Filed under: Elaeis guineensis (African oil palm)
Lineage: Eukaryota; Viridiplantae; Streptophyta; Magnoliopsida; Arecales; Arecaceae
Description: long non-coding RNA (EGUI_LNC002078)
Source: RNAcentral